RNAcentral lists this ribosomal RNA (492 nucleotides) under uncultured bacterium. RNAcentral's name for it is "partial 16S ribosomal RNA". It matches the Rfam family "Bacterial small subunit ribosomal RNA", at positions 30 to 507 of the family's 1533-position model. The record is from RNAcentral.
AGUGAACGCUGGCGGUAGGCCUAACACAUGCAAGUCGAACGGAAGCACAGUAAGAUUGUGCUCUUACGGGUGGCGAGUGGCGGGCGGGUGAGGAGUGCAUCGGACUCUUCUUUUUCGGGGGGGAUAACGUAAGGAAGGUUACGAUAAUACAGCAUAUGCCCUACGGGUGAAAGCAGUGGAUAUUCGGAGCUUUCGGGGUUGAAUGAGCCGAUGGCGUGUUUGCUAGUUGGGGGGGUAAAGACCCAACCAGGCGAGGAUUCGUAGCUCGUGUGGGAGGAUGGUCGGCCACACUGGAACGUGGACACGGUCCAGACUCCUACGGUAGGCCGCAGUGGGGAAUAUUGGACAACGGGGGGAAACCUUAUCCAGCCAGACCGAGUGGGUUAAGGAGGCCUUCGGGGUGGAAAGACCUUUUGUUGGGAAAGAAAAGCAGCAGGUUGAUACGCCGCUGUUCUGACGGUACCCAAAGAAUAAGCACCGGCUAACUUCGUG